UGUGGCUCAAUGGUGGAGCACUUGCCUAGCAUGCAUGAGGCACUGAGUUUGAUUCUUAGCA
This 61-nucleotide transfer RNA is filed under the name Marmota monax (woodchuck). It matches the Rfam family "tRNA", at positions 6 to 65 of the family's 71-position model. Rfam says of the family: Transfer RNA (tRNA) molecules are approximately 80 nucleotides in length. Lineage: Eukaryota; Metazoa; Chordata; Mammalia; Rodentia; Sciuridae. RNAcentral also lists the same sequence under 2 other names. The record is from Rfam by way of RNAcentral.